GGUAGGGCUUCCGCGUCUGGUGAGCGGCCUGGUCUUCAAAACCAGAGGAGCCACGUGCAAGCGUGGCUCGGCGAGUUCGAUUCCCGUGCCCUACCGA
RNAcentral lists this transfer RNA (97 nucleotides) under Myxococcaceae bacterium. Its description in RNAcentral is "tRNA-Sec". It matches the Rfam family "Selenocysteine transfer RNA". The record is from RNAcentral. Lineage: Bacteria; Pseudomonadati; Myxococcota; Myxococcia; Myxococcales; Myxococcaceae.